Molecule: long non-coding RNA, 520 nt
Organism: Cygnus olor (mute swan)
Lineage: Eukaryota; Metazoa; Chordata; Aves; Anseriformes; Anatidae
Exons: 4
Source: RefSeq, a predicted model, not a curated record
GGACCCAAGGAACUACAGGCCUGUCGGUCUGACUUUGGUGCCAGGGAAGGUUAUGGAGCAUAGUGACAUCUUCUUAAGUGCCACCAUGCAACAUAUACAGGACACCCAGGUGAUCAGGCCCACUUAGCAUGGGUUUAUGAAAGGUUGUGAUGGCAUCCUUGAGAGUGAAAUCCAGACUUCUGCAGUGCUAGACUGUUUGGAAGUUCAGGAUUUGAGAAGUGUGUCUGAGCCUCAAAAUCCAGGAAGGAAAGAAGCUGCUGAGAGUGUCUACUGAAGAAAGUCUCGUGCUGCCCAAGGCACAACGCUGAGCAAGUCAUGCAGGCUCCCUCUACUAGUGACUGAGGAGGAAAAGGCACAUUCAUAGAGCAAAGAGAGAACUAAGGAUUUAGGUGAGAUGCCUUCUCUCUGGACAAUACAAACUCUGGAAGUGGACAGUCUUGUCUAGAGUUACCUCCAAUGUGUUGCUUCAACCAAAGACCAAGGGUGAGGGGUCUGGAGGACUGCCAUUGCUAUCCUGGCA